This is a long non-coding RNA of Hemicordylus capensis (graceful crag lizard), 1257 nucleotides long. RefSeq lists it as uncharacterized. The transcript has 2 exons. Lineage: Eukaryota; Metazoa; Chordata; Lepidosauria; Squamata; Cordylidae. The record is from RefSeq and is a predicted model, not a curated record.
UGGAGGUCUUUAUGGGUAUGGUAUGACUUGCCGAAUUGUGUUGCUUACAUUGUGGGACCCACACGAUCCUUUCCCCUUUAAGUGAAAAAAAAACCCGCUAUAGCCGGAACCUUCCACGCGCAAGCGCUGAUCUUUCUUUCCCACCCCCACCAGGUCUUUUAAUAGCCAGAUUUAUCAGAAAUUCUCUGUGAUGGCCACUGGGGUUAGCAGAGUAGGAAGCGUCUGUAUCCGAAAGCGCAAGGCUAGAUCCUGGCAUUGCGAAUAUCUUCCGCGGAUGGUUUACUUUAAGCCCUUGGAGGAGGUCGGGAGGGACCAACCAAAGUGGUACGCGAGAGCGCUGCUAGUAGUGAGAUGGGUGGGUGAGUGUUGGGGGGGGGGGAAAGGGACUAUUUUCUGAGGGCUCUUGCUAGGCAGCGCAGGAAGACGAUCGGUUGUGCUAUAACUUCCAGUAGCUUCCUCACGAGGCCUCUUGCGCUCCCGCCCCCCCCUCCCCGCCUCCGCCUUCCUUGUCAUAACUGAGCAGCUUCUGUUUUUUUCCCCACCAUCUCCCGCUCGCUUUCCCGCUCUGUCGUACCGGCUGAAAGCCUCGGCUGCGGCUGCUGGCGUAUUGCAUUAGCACCAGGGGGCGCCCUAACGCAGCCUUGCGAUUCCUCCCAUUUACCCCCCCCCCCCCCGGAGGUAGCUGCAGCAUCCUUCUCUGAUUUCUGCUUGCAAGUUGCCAGCCAUGCACGGCAGCCUCUCGGGGGUCUAGUGUGAGCCUCCUGCCGUAAAGCCAGAAAAAGUGCCUGGAGACCACCGUGCGGUUCGAUUCCCGACAAGAACCUUUUCGAUCGACCUUUAGGCCGCCUACCUACCAGUGCCUUUCAUUGGGGGAAUCUCUCUCCAUCUAAAUACUCUCAAUCCCGCUCCUUGAAAUGAUCUGGGUGGAAGACGGCAACAUUCCCCGAAUGGCAGCAACCAAGCUCCCUGUGUGAGCAAAACUCAUCUUUUGAGCCCUGCUGAAAGGAUCGUUUUUGAGCAGGGCAAUUUGAUGCUUCUUGUCUGCAUCCUGAUUAACUGUUUUAAAUUGUUGCCCUGAUUUUCAAGGCUUUUAGCUGUUUUAUUGGUUUUAUUGUGUUUUAAUACUUUGAUUUUAAUUGUUAAUUUGUUUUAAUUGUUUUUAUCAUGCUGUGAACCACCCUGAGCCAUUUUGGAAGGGCGGUAUAUAAAUCAAAUAAAUAAAUAAACAAAUCCUGCCAAACAGGCAGCAGUUUUUGA